RNAcentral lists this ribosomal RNA (446 nucleotides) under uncultured bacterium. RNAcentral's name for it is "SSU rRNA". It matches the Rfam family "Bacterial small subunit ribosomal RNA", at positions 26 to 518 of the family's 1533-position model. The record is from RNAcentral.
AGAACGAACGCUGGCGGCAUGCCUAACACAUGCAAGUCGAACGAGACCUUCGGGUCUAGUGGCGCACGGGUGCGUAACGCGUGGGAAUCUGCCCAAAGGUUCGGAAUAACUCAGGGAAACUUGAGCUAAUACCGGAUGAUGUCGCAAGACCAAAGAUUUAUUGCCUUUGGAUGAGCCCGCGUAGGAUUAGCUUGUUGGUGAGGUAAAGGCUCACCAAGGCUACGAUCCUUAGCUGGUCUGAGAGGAUGAUCAGCCACACUGGGACUGAGACACGGCCCAGACUCCUACGGGAGGCAGCAGUGGGGAAUAUUGGACAAUGGGCGAAAGCCUGAUCCAGCAAUGCCGCGUGAGUGAUGAAGGCCCUAGGGUUGUAAAGCUCGUUUACCCGGGAAGAUAAUGACUGUACCGGGAGAAUAAGCCCCGGCUAACUCCGCGCCAGCAGCCGC